Molecule: non-coding RNA, 228 nt
Filed under: Clostridium sp.
Lineage: Bacteria; Bacillati; Bacillota; Clostridia; Eubacteriales; Clostridiaceae
Description: T-box sequence
Rfam family: T-box leader
About the family: Uncharged tRNA acts as the effector for transcription antitermination of genes in the T-box leader family. T-boxes are found upstream of many aminoacyl-tRNA synthetase genes and some amino acid biosynthetic genes usually in Gram-positive bacteria.
Source: RNAcentral
AGCAAAUUGUUGAUUUAGAAUAGUAACUAAUAUGAAGCUUAUAGAAAGUAACUGGUUGAUGGAAAGUUAUAGCGAAUUAUUAGUGAAUGGGCUAAAGAGAGAUUCUUCGAAAUUUUUCUAGUAGAAGAAUACGGGAUUUCCACCGUUAUCAAUGGAACGUGUAUGAUAGUACAUGAAUAUAUCUAUUUUUAUAGGUGGCAUAGCAAGAUUAUAACUCUUGUCCUAUUU